GACGAACGCUGGCGGCGUGCUUAACACAUGCAAGUCGAACGGUGAAGCGCCUUCCUUUUUGGUGGGUGUGGAUGAGUGGCGAACGGGUGAGUAACACGUGAGUAACCUGCCCCCUUCUUCUGGAUAACCGCAUGAAAGUGUGGCUAAUACGGGAUAUUCUGGGUCUGUCGCAUGAUGGGUCUGGGAAGGAUAUUGUUUCGGUGGGGGAGGGGCUCGCGGCCUAUCAGCUUGUUGGUGGGGUGAUGGCCUACCAAGGCGGUGACGGGUAGCCGGCCUGAGAGGGUGGACGGUCACACUGGGACUGAGACACGGCCCAGACUCCUACGGGAGGCAGCAGUGGGGAAUAUUGCACAAUGGGCGCAAGCCUUAUGCAGCGACGCCGCGUGAGGGAUGGAGGCCUUCGGGUUGUGAACCUCUUUCGCCAGUGAAGCAGGCCUGCCUCGUUUGUGGGUGGGUUGACGGUAGCUGGAUAAGAAGCGCCGGCUAACUACGUG
RNAcentral lists this ribosomal RNA (494 nucleotides) under uncultured bacterium. Its description in RNAcentral is "partial 16S ribosomal RNA". It matches the Rfam family "Bacterial small subunit ribosomal RNA", at positions 28 to 507 of the family's 1533-position model. The record is from RNAcentral.